AAUUAUGACACUCUGGAGAAAGGGU
This 25-nucleotide non-coding RNA is filed under the name Cricetulus griseus (Chinese hamster). Lineage: Eukaryota; Metazoa; Chordata; Mammalia; Rodentia; Cricetidae. The record is from RNAcentral.